AACAGAACUUAGCCUGGAGCGUGUGUAACGUAAGUCAGCAGGUCUGAACCUUAGACUGUCUGGACCACCUCCUCAUCGCAGAGGUGGCGAUGCUGGGCCUGCCCUGCUCACACGGCUGAAGAGUAUCACUGGGAAGGAAGUGGGCUCGUGAGAUAAUCCAAUCCAGUGCUUCCCAGCCUUUAAUGAGAAAUGGUAAACCAGUGUGAGGAAGAGCACGGAUUCUGGAGUCAGACGGCCGUCCAGUGAUGGAAUUCUGGCUCUGCCACUAUCAGCUGUGAGUUGAGCAAGCGCCCUGAAAACUCUGUGACGUGGAAAUUACAACACGUGAGCACAGAGAACAGCACAGAGUGCAUUCCACAAAUGGUGGCUCUUGGCUGACCCAGACCCAGUGAGAGGCAGCUCUGCCCUGGCCCCAGGCUUUACAGGGCCCCAAUCCAGCCCCUACCCACUGGGGUGAGGACGUCACCUGGAGCUCAUGUGUCUUUCUGUAGACCACAUUCCAGGGACCUCGAGCUGCUGCAUGAAAAUUACAUGUUAGUGGUGGGAAAAAGAAAACAACAACACAAAAGUGGCUUUUCUUGACUAGCUGUCAGUAGUGGGAGGGGUGCUGCGGAGUCGGAAACCAUUUCUCCUGUGGCUGGCAGUUGCCACUUAUACGGAUCUACUUAUUUGGAGGAGAAAAGAGCUGACACAAAAGGCUCUCUCUGAAAUUCUGUGCGUAGAACAAAGCGGCACACGACGAGAUGUAGAAUUCCAUUAGAGGACGGCCCCAGCACUCGCUGUCCUUCACAACGACCACCCCACAGGCGCAUGAAUAGAAGCCUCAGCCACCCACAGCCUCAGUGCCCGGCAGCGUGUCUCCAGGAAGGAAAGGCCCGGGCACAAUGCAUUUCUCUCAGGUUUGGCUCAGCUUCCCCGGGGAUUUGCACCAUCACAGAGAAACCUAUCUCUCCUCCAGGGACCCACAGUUGGGGAGGCCACUCCAUGCUGUCACCCCUUCCUGUCCCUCUGAAACGUUUCUUCCUUCCACUCAUUUCUCCUAGAUGAAAUUUUAACUAGUA
Molecule: long non-coding RNA, 1061 nt
Filed under: Homo sapiens (human)
Lineage: Eukaryota; Metazoa; Chordata; Mammalia; Primates; Hominidae
Description: HSALNT0100240
Source: RNAcentral